GGGGACAAGUCCAGGGACGCAGUGGCCGGUGAUGGAGGAGUCUUCAUGGAGGGGACGGGGGUUCCUUGUGCCACCACGGUGCCAGAGGACACAGGGAUCCUCGUCACCACGGUCUAUGGAGAGGACUUGGACAUGGUGGCCAAUGCUGGAGACACCUUCGUGGAGAAGAUGAAGGAUCCUGGUGCCACCACGGUGCCCGGGGACACGGGGACCCCCGUGACCACGGAUGGGACCACGGUGGGACAUGUCACCGUGGCC
This 258-nucleotide long non-coding RNA is filed under the name Struthio camelus australis. Its description in RNAcentral is "lncRNA (ENSSCUG00000000062.1)". The record is from RNAcentral. Lineage: Eukaryota; Metazoa; Chordata; Aves; Struthioniformes; Struthionidae.